GGAAGUAAAAGUCUAACAAGGUUUCCGUAGGUGAACCUGCGGAAGGAUCAUUACCGAGUGCGGGUUCCAACGAGCCCAACCUCCCACCCGUGUUUACCAUGACCGCGUUGCCUCGGCGGGCCCACUGGGGCCUGGCCCCGGUCGCCGGGGGGCUUCUGCCCCCGGGUCCGCGCCCGCCGAAGCGCCCUGGAACCCUGUCUGAAUAGUGAGUCUGAGUGAAUGAUUUAAUCAUUAAAACUUUCAACAACGGAUCUCUUGGUUCCG
This 264-nucleotide unclassified non-coding RNA is filed under the name plant metagenome. RNAcentral's name for it is "partial contains small subunit ribosomal RNA, internal transcribed spacer 1, and 5.8S ribosomal RNA". The stretch from base 1 to 53 matches the Rfam family "Eukaryotic small subunit ribosomal RNA", at positions 1778 to 1831 of the family's 1831-position model. The record is from RNAcentral.